Molecule: unclassified non-coding RNA, 336 nt
Filed under: soil metagenome
Description: partial contains 5.8S ribosomal RNA, internal transcribed spacer 2, and large subunit ribosomal RNA
Rfam family: 5.8S ribosomal RNA (bases 1-120)
Source: RNAcentral
GAUGAAGAACGAAGCGAAAUGCGAUAAGUAAUGUGAAUUGCAGAAUUCAGUGAAUCAUCGAAUCUUUGAACGCACAUUGCGCCCGCCAGUAUUCUGGCGGGCAUGCCUGUUCGAGCGUCAUUUCAACCAUCAAGCCCCCGGCUUGUGUUGGGGACCUGCGGCUGCCGCAGGCCCUGAAAAGCAGUGGCGGGCUCGCUGUCACACCGAGCGUAGUAGCAUACAUCUCGCUCUGGGCGUGCUGCGGGUUCCGGCCGUUAAACCACCUUCAUAACCCAAGGUUGACCUCGGAUCAGGUAGGAAGACCCGCUGAACUUAAGCAUAUCAAUAAGCGGAGGA